CAGCUAACCUACAAAAUAGAAACUACGCUGUAAUCACAUUUUAAUGAGGUCAUUGAUUAUUAGACUAAUCUGAUAAUUAUGAAGAAUGGAAACACAUUUUAAGGGGGAACCAGUCUCCAUUUUUCUUCUGUAAAAUAAACGUAGGUGAGUAUACAGUUCUGCUAAACAAUUAUACAAGGCUCGCAGGAGGCAAACUGAUGUAUGUGACACAUAACUGCAGGGCCAGGUUUCUUCAUAACCACAGAGAUUCAUAGGUCUUCACAGGAGCUGUAUACAUAAAACGGUAGAAUAUUUUUAAGACUAUUUGCAAAGUUUUUUCCCUUUUUCAUUAUAAUGUAUACAAUGGAGCAAUAUAAAAUUCUGUUGUAAAAGUAUAUCCAUUUUCAAUGUCAUGUACGCUUAUUUUCAAUGACUACAAGUUUCCUAAGCAAAGGACUUUGAUUUCUAAGCAGAGUUGAUUUGUUGAUAUGGUGUAGUGCCUGAACCCAUCAAGUUUCUUAUACAAGUUUCUAACAAUAUCCUAUACUAGUAAUUAAAGGGGUUGUCCCCUUACGACAACUCAUCCCCUAUAUACUGGGGCCCUCAUUGAUCACUAGAACUGCAGCCCGUGUUUCUCCUGUCUGAAUGGAGGUACAGACACGCAUGAGCGAUGCCGCUCAAUUCAACUCUAGAGAUAGCCAAGAGCUUGUUACUUGUUACCCAUAUAGCUGAAUGAUACGGAAGUGUACCCCCAGCAGUUAGACCCCUGCAGAUCAGACACUUAUCCCCUAUCCUGUAGACAGGGUAUACGUUGUUUUUGUUCGCGGGCAAAACCAUUUUAAGGGAUUUGCCAAUGAACAAAAAUUAUAAUCUAUCACUAUCCAAUGUAUAAACGCUGGGGGUCCAUAGAAGUGAAUGGAGCAGGGCUCACGUUUGCACUAGGAGGUCCUAAGACACGUUUAUAACCUAUUUAUAACCUAUCCUGUGGAUAUAAGCGGAAGCGAUUUUUUAGCACUUACCUACUUAAUCACUAUAUACGCAAUGCUCACUGAUGGCGCUUUGUGUAGAUAUUCCAGUAUAUGGCAGUUCUCUUUCCUGUAUUAUCACUGAGAUUCUGCUAGGAGGACAGAGCUGCUGGGUAUGACAAGUGACUGGUUAUAUUACAGUUACAUUUACCCUGUAACUGGGGUUGCCGCAUCAGCUCCAGCAAGAGAGAGAAGCUGUAUUAUAUAUAGUUAAAUGUACAUUAACCCUUUAUCUGCUAUAUAGAAAGGAAUUUAAACAACCUCAAUACAAGAAACUCAGUUGAAUAGACUAUCCAAAAACAAAUCAAAAACAGACAUUAGUAGCAUAUCUGCAAUAGGGGGUCACAAUGGUUUGAGCUAAACAAUGGUGGAAAAUUGUAGCAAUGUCUGUGGUGAGACAGCUCCUUUAAAUGAAGUGGCUUUCAGCCCCUGGAAAUUUUGCACCAAAAGCUGAGAAUGGUAUAAAAUAACAAACUGAGUAACAUACACCUCACAAAUCCUCCACCCGUCCAUGCUGUUGCUUUCCAGGUCCCCGAGUCCUGGCCUCCAGUGUCUCAUCAUGAACACAUGACUGUUGCAGCCAAUCACUGGCUGCAGCAGACACCACUAAGUCACUGCCGAUAUGUCACCGCUGGAGGACAGUAUACACAAACCAGUAGGGAACUGGGAACAUGGGGACAGCGGCCUGUUAAGGCGAAUGUUACUAGGUUUGUUAUUUUAUAGCAUUCUGAGCUUUGAUUUAAAAAAAAAAUACAUUCAAGGGGCUGUACAGCAGUUUAGUAUAGUGUUGAAAGUUUUCAGCACUUAUCUGAACCAGAGUCUUAAUUGCCAUUACAAAGAUAACAACAUUGUUAGGUCUUAAGGUCACGUGACUGAUGAACGUGAUGCCGCUGACCUAGGAAGAGGCCACAGGAUAGGACAUCAACAUGCAAAUCCUGGACAACCACUUUAAAUAAAUCACCAACUAAUGGUAAGCUUGCCUUAUGGAGAAUCAACCCAGCACACAGUACAUAACAUUUAACACUCUGUUAGAUUCUACAAAAUACAAAGUGUUGCUUUAUGAGUGACAGUAUGACAAAAAAUUUGUAAAGGGCUGCUAAGGAGAAACUGUUAGAAUUAUGAAUGGUUUGAGGAAAGUGUCAUCAAAGGGAAAGCAGUGUAAAAUAAGAAUGUGCAGAUUUUGUACCACGCUUUUCAUACUAUAACCCCUUUGUGCCACAGCGAUUUUCCAUUUUUUACUCCCCACCUUCCUGGAGCUAUUUUUUUAUUUUUCCAUUCAAAUAGCCGUAGUUUUUUUGCGGGACACGUUGUACUUUCUAAUGGUAACAUUUAAUAUUGCAUACAAUGUAGGAAAAAAUUCCAUAUGGAUGGUAUUGGAAAAAAAGCAAUUCCUACAUAAAAAUGACUGUUAACUCCAUUAUCCAGGUCAGUUCAAUCACAGUGAUAUUACCUUUACGGUAUAUAGUUUUUCUGAUGUUUUAAUACUUUAAAAAAAACUUUGAAAAAAGUAAAACAUUUUUCUUUUCAUCAUCAUAUUCUGACCACUUUCUGAUCACUUUUUAUUCAAUUCUUGUGAGGUGAAGUGGCUAAUUGGCCAUUUUAUUUUUCGCUACAACUUUUACCUUAAAGGAUAAAUAUGUUUGUAUUUUAAUAGUUUGGGAAUUUUGGGAUGUGGCAAUAUAAGUGAUUUUUUUAUUGUUUAUUUGUUUUUAUUUUUAAUAUGGUGAAAGGGUGAUGAUUUGAAUUUGUAUUUUUAUUUUACAUAUUUUUUCAAAUAUUUUUUUUUUACAUUCAUUUUCAGUCUUCCAAGGGGACUUUAACAUGUGAUCAUCUGAUCCCUUCUCCCAUAGACUGCAAUGGUUUGACAUUGCAGCUUUUGGGAGAUUUACUAUGUUCUUAUGUAGCCCUGCCUUCAGAAGGCACAAGGCUGCCAUAGAAACCAAACGGCUCUCUUGAUCUCAGCGCGAGGGAGCAAUUUGGCACGGGAGUGCAGAUGUCGUGGUCGCAACUGACCACAGCAUCCGAGGGGUUAAAAGUCUAUGAUUUGUGUUAUCGCCGAUCACAGACAAUCCCUCUGAGUAUCUGUUGUAUAAAACAGCAGGCGCACAGUGGCUAUAGUGCCCAGUUUCUGAGUGGGCACCAUCUUUAAAGUCCCGUCAUCCGGUGUAAAUGUAUGCCUGAUGUCAUGAAUGGGUUAAAAGCUUUGACAUAGAAAUAAAUGAUUGCACAUAUAUUAGUGGUUAACUUGAGGGGGGGGGGGAUUAAUAAAAUCGCACAAAGUUUCAAGUUGCAGUCUUAAUUCUUUCGUUAAUUUUCAGGUCCCCUGAUAAUCAGUUUACAAACUGCUCCUAGCUUCAGACUUUUUUAAUGGAUCCGUCCCUUCCUGUUACAUAUGCUGGAUCUGUAUGUCAAGAAUGCUGAUGUCUGGACUCUUCACUAUAUCACACUGCAUUCCCCUUCCAUAGUCCAUGAGGGGUCUCUUCUCCAUUUUCCCUCCCUAAUGGUAUCUCUGUAAUGUCAGAAGAAGCAGCACAGCUAGCUAUGUUCAGAAGCUGCACAGACUCUACAGCAAAAGAAAUUGUUGAAAUUUAAAAUGAACAUUAUUUAUAAAAUUGAUUCAUUUUGUAUGUAUGAUGCAAAUGAACAGGUGUCCAUAUGUCGGAUCAGCUGCACUGGGGCCCAGCAUGGGAGGGAGCACAGUGCUCCAGAUUAGGGCCAAAAUGAUCACCAAUGUGACUGAAAAAUUGCACCAAAAGCUGUCCCUCUGUGGUGGCCAUCAAUAUAUGCGAUUUUCUGUCCUCCUCCAGUUGUUUCUGAUUAGGAUAUGGAGCAGGGGGCUUAGUAGGUGAGAUGCAGGCCACAGCAGUUAAAUUCAGGAGGGCAUGUGGGUCGCUGGCCGGGUGCAUGAGUACUUGAUUCUCACAGCUUUAAUUACCCCUGAGAGAGCAUUAUAUACCCAGCCAGUGGCAGAGAGAAGGGUUUGGGUGGCCCCAGGGCAUCGGCCCACCGGGAAAGUUCCGUGUAAGGUCUAUGGCCAAUCCUCCCAUGGGGAUAUUACUGAGGAGAGAGAAGGAAAGGGGAAAUUACAACUGGGGGGCACUGUACAUUACUACUGUGGAGAAGUGAGGGAGACAUUACUGCUGUAGGGUCACUGUGAGGGACAUUACUAAUGUAGGGCCACUGUGGCCGAUGUUACUGCUGUAGGGGCACUGUGGGGGACAUUACUACUGUAGGGGCACUGUGAAGGACAUUGAUAUUGGGCAGCACUGUAGGGGACAUUACUACUGCGGGGGCACUGUGAGAGACAUUGCUAUUGGGCACCACUGUGAGGGACAUUACUACUGUGGGGAACAUUGCUGUU
Long non-coding RNA from Bufo bufo (common toad), 4365 nucleotides. RefSeq lists it as uncharacterized. The record is from RefSeq and is a predicted model, not a curated record. NCBI's taxonomy places the organism in Eukaryota, Metazoa, Chordata, Amphibia, Anura, Bufonidae. The transcript has 3 exons.